RNAcentral lists this long non-coding RNA (3911 nucleotides) under Gallus gallus (chicken). RNAcentral's name for it is "long non-coding RNA NONGGAT009417". Lineage: Eukaryota; Metazoa; Chordata; Aves; Galliformes; Phasianidae. The record is from RNAcentral.
GUGAUGGGGAACAGAGAGCUGCUGCUGGGCACAGAGCAAUCCCAGCCCUCUGGGCUGUCCCACUGGGGGGGUGGAGGGGAGUUGACCCUGCUGGGAUGGGAUCCUCCUGCCUGGGCUGCUCGGAUGAGAGCUCCGUGUCCCAAUCUCUGCUGCUACCGUCGGGGUCAUGCUGUGUCUGAAGCAAGACGAGAGGUGCCCCAAGACAACACCUGAACACACUGGCUGUGCCUCCUAAAUGCCUUACAGAUCAGCGUGCCCAGCACAGCAGCUCCAUGACAGAAGCAGCAAUAGAUGGGGCUCAGCUCCCGAGAGCUCCUGCUGUAAGUCCUGCAAGGCACAAACCUCAGCUGUUCCGAAGGUGUGAGGUAGGCGGGCUGGGUAUUUUUGAACACACUGCAAGAAAGCCUGGUGUCAACAUUUGCAUUCCUCCUGCGGUGUUACAAAGCCUGAUCCCGUAUUAAACAGCAGAAAAACCUGAAGCCGACUUCCAUGACCCACCCAGACUAGGUAAGAUGGGGAAGGCACUGAGGGAGCAGAAGGCGAGGAGGAGGCAGGAGGGGAUGGGCUGCUGUGCUCUGCCCUGCUGCUGACCCAGGGGGUUCCCACUGACACUGGAACCAGUGGCACAGAAAGCCAAUAAUCCUCUUACCGGCCUGGCACUGCCCGUGCUGCGCUCCAAUUAGCAGCCCAGCCUCGCCGGGGUUGUUAUUAAUUACGGGAGGAAGAGGGAUGGAGGAGAUUUAGAGCACGUCUGCUGAGGGAAAGGAGGGCAGAGGGGAAAACGCUUUGCAGGUCUGAGCUGUUCCACUCUCACUGUGCUCUCAUUCUGCCCCCAGAACGGAGCCCCUCCCCCAUGCAGUGCAUAAGAUGCUACACAAAAUACACCCCAGGUGCUGCUGCUGCUCCGUUUGUCACCGUUCCAUUUCAGUAUUCCCAGAUGAUUUUCACCCUGGGGAAAAGCCAGAGUCCCCCACCCCAGGCAGGCGCAGCGGGAGCAGCCAUCCUCCCCCAGCAAGAGGGCUGCACGCCUCAGGAAACUCAUCCCAAAGCCUCAGCAGACUGCACAGCCCUCCCAGUUAGCAGCAAGGGACCCAAAGUCACGAGAACGUAAGUGAGGCACGAGGAGUCAGCUGGGUGGCACAGGGAACAGCUUUGCUGAGCACAAAGCUCCGCUUCCCACCGCACUGCCAGCUAAAAUUGGGCACGUCUCUAAAGGGACGUGGUGCUUAAAAAUAGGGUUCGUAGUCCCAAAGGCUUUUAAAGAGAGCUCAAGGCGGUUGCGUGCAUCACACCCCAUAGGAGGAGACGCAGGUUGGGGUAGCACCUGCCCAGCACCCCAAAGCUGGGGUGGGAUCCCCCUCUGUUGGGCAGCACUCAUUGCCCUAACCCUUACCAUGCAGCCUCUGUUCUGCCACCUCUCUCUGCUUCCACUGACGUACCGUGCAUGACACAGCACAGUUUUGCAAGGCACGAUGCGUGCCACACUUAUCUCUGCAGUGCCACAGACGUGGCCAGCACUGGUUCAGGGCCACGGGUCGCUGCCAUGCAGCCCAGCACCUGCCAUCACAGCAACACAGUAUCUGCUCCUCCUUGCACACGGGGACUGCAGGCAAAAAGCAGAACCUAUUGCAACGAGAUCUCUCUCUCUGUGAAGCAGUCGGAUGCCCAAAGGCUCUCAUUUACACUCACAAACGACCGCCGCUUUCGAGCCAUCCUGGAUUGCUUUGCGCAAUCUCCGCUGCCAGACACACAGGUCAAGUCCAAGUCACACUUAUCAAGAAACAAAAUAAGGUUAAAAAUAUUGUCUCAGUGUGCAGGACGGUCUCUCUGGAGGCUCCUGUGGCUUUGCCUGAAAUACACCCAACGUCACUGCAGGAUGUACCCACACACCUUGCAGGCUGCUGAAUCGCAUCUGCUACAGAAAGCCCCGGCUCCUGAGCCUGGCUCCAGCCCUGCACGCUGCUGAAGGCACUGGGGCUGUGCUGAGGUCUGAGCUGGGUCAGGACCAGGACCGGGGGAGCUGAGGGUCUUCACACCGGGCAGGGAUUUUCUACCUGCACCCUCAGGCAUUCGCACCGUUGGCGUCAUCUGCCUCCCAAACCACAGUUCUGCACAGGAAGGGAACGAGCCGCCCGCAAGCACCGGAUGCGCGCCGUACUCACGUUCAUCUUCCAGAGCCGCCCUCCUCUUUCAAGCCAUUUUGUGAGAAAGCCCCGUCGCUCACCGCCGCCUACGGCAUCGCUGCCUGCGUGCCCUGCAAGGACCCGGGCUCCAGAGCAGCCCUUAAUCCAUCCAGCACCAAAGCUCCGGGCUCAGCCCUGCAGCUGCGGGAUGCCCGGUGCCACCAAGGCGCUCCCCUCGGCUCCAGCCCGCGACGGACGGAGGUCCCCAGGCAGUGCGGAGCUCUCCAAAGCCGUCCCUUUUACGUUCUCCGACCUUGCGAGGAAAAUCCUGUCUCGUUUGAAUUAUUCAUCAUACUUUCUGUUCUGCCAGCUCCGGCAUACGUUCUGAAUCAUUAAUAUGUCAUGACUUCUUAUCUCUGUUUUUCUUUUUGACUUUUAUCUUCUCUCCUCCUUGAAAAAUAACGCGAUCACCGCUGUGUUAAUUAGCAUCCAUCUGAUUUACCAAAUCAAAAGCCGUCUCCGUCCUGAUGCACACCCUUCCUUGUGGGAAAUACCACUUUAACAGCUCUGGGAACUGGGCUAGCGCUGGCUGGUUCUAUCUAAAGCACUGCAAAACAUGUUUGGAUUUCACUUUUUGGCAGCGUUUCCUGAGCCUGCAAGCCGGUCUGGUGAUGGAAAGCCGGGUAGGCUUCCAGGAUCAUAAAAGAAGAACAAGGUAACGGCGCUGGGAGUGCUGUCAGACAGCUCGUUUUCCUCCUUUAUAAGCAGAGCUGAUGGCAAACCACUCCAAGCCACGGGCAGCAAGGGCAGCAGGGCCGGCUUGGCUCAGUGCUGCACUACCGCAGUGGGGACACAGCUGCUGCCAACAGCGGGAGCUGACCCUACAGCAUGCACCUGGACUCACACCUGUCCUAUGGGGCCCGUUGGACUUUGGGAAAGCAGUGAACCACCCCCUGAAUCCUCCCUGCCCCGGCUUGGCUCUCCCUUAUUAAUUUUGAGUCGGAUCCAACAAGCAGCCCUUCCCACAGCUCCUGGCUGGCAGAGCUGCAUUGCCCACCCCGUUCUCCAAAGAGCUAAAUGACAUUUCAGCGGCAGGAAGCUCCUGCCAAUAACAUCACAGCCCGGCCUCGUUGCUUUCAUGAGCCCCUCCAUUAGGCUCCGUGCUGGAGGUGGCUCCAAGAGGAGCCAGGGCUGGGGCUCAGCCCGGCCCCAGUGCCUGCAAUCAGGGCUGGGAGCGGACGUAACCCACCCCGUUCCCAACACAUUCCUUUCUGUACAGAUUUGACAUAGGAACCGCACCCGGUUUCAUAAAUAAAUGCAGCGGGAACCUGAACUAUUCAGCCCGCUGACCUGAAGUUGGUUCUGAAGUUAAUAAUUCAUUCACGUGAGCUGGGAUGGAGGUUUCUAAUUCAGCUCAUUUCAGAAGUCGAGAGGAGGAAGAAACACAUCGCAGAAGUUAACUUAUCCUGGGGAGUCAGAGCAUCCCAGGUAACAGCAGCAGGAUGGGAGGUGAUGGCCUCACCUUGCACCAGGGGAGGGUCAGGCUGGGUAUUAGGAAACAUUUCUUCUCCCAAAGAGCAGUGAUGCAGUGGCACAGCUGCCCAGGGAGGAUGGGGUCACCAUCCCUGGAGGUGUUCAGAGCUGUGGGGAUGUGGCACUGAGGGAUGCGGGCAGCGGGCAUGGUGAGGUGGGCAUGGUUGGGUGGGGAUCUCAGAGGUCUUUUCCAGUUGUCAUUGUUGGAAACCAUUGGUUGGAAGCCUCCAGCAGCACCCAACCCUGUAAUUCAAA